This 253-nucleotide ribosomal RNA is filed under the name uncultured bacterium. Its description in RNAcentral is "partial 16S ribosomal RNA". It matches the Rfam family "Bacterial small subunit ribosomal RNA", at positions 524 to 776 of the family's 1533-position model. The record is from RNAcentral.
UACGGAGGGCGCGAGCGUUACUCGGAAUUACUGGGCGUAAAGCGCGCGUAGGCUGUUGUGUAAGUUGGGGGUGAAAUCCCACGGCUCAACCGUGGAACAGCCCUUGAUACUGCGCGACUUGAAUCCGGGAGAGGGUGGCGGAAUUCCAGGUGUAGGAGUGAAAUCCGUAGAUAUCUGGAGGAACAUCAGUGGCGAAGGCGGCCACCUGGACCGGUAUUGACGCUGAGGCGCGAAAGCCUGGGGAGCAAACAGG